CCUACGGGAGGCAGCAGUGGGGAAUAUUGCACAAUGGGGGAAACCCUGAUGCAGCGACGCCGCGUGAGGGAAGAAGGAAUUCGGUAUGUAAAGCUCUAUCAGCAGGGAAGAAAAUGACGGUACCUGAGUAAGAAGCCCCGGCUAACUACGUGCCAGCAGCCGCGGUAAUACGGAGGGGGCAAGCGUUAUCCGGAUUUACUGGGUGUAAAGGGAGCGUAGACGGCCGUGCAAGUCUGGAGUGAAAGGCGGGGGCUCAACCCCCGGACUGCUCUGGAAACUGUAAGGCUGGAGUGCAGGAGAGGUAAGUGGAAUUCCUAGUGUAGCGGUGAAAUCCGUAGAUAUCAGGAGGAACACUCGUGGCGAAGGCGGCUUACUGGACUGUAACUGACGUUGAUGCUCGAACGCGUGGGGAGCAAACAGGAUUAGAUACCCGUGUAGUC
RNAcentral lists this ribosomal RNA (440 nucleotides) under uncultured bacterium. Its description in RNAcentral is "partial 16S ribosomal RNA". It matches the Rfam family "Bacterial small subunit ribosomal RNA", at positions 338 to 795 of the family's 1533-position model. The record is from RNAcentral.